CAGGCACUCGAGUGGCAUAAUGGAGGCGGCGGAUGGUGUCUCGUAAGAAGGACCCUGAAAAGCGGCUCUUUGUGCGCCACAACUCCGCGAUCGGGCGACCGGAGGCGCGAGCCACCGUCUAGAGCGGACUCGGACGUAGCCGGGCGGGGUCGGAGCAGCCUGGCGUGCGAGCGGCCCGCGUCGCCGACGGUCAGCGGGUUCGCAAGCGACACGACCGCUUCUCCGUCGCUGCCGCGUGCUCCCCGCACGCACGCCGCGAGGCUUUACGGGCCCCGGGGGCGAAAGCUGCGCCGAGCGCCGAAACGCUCCCUCGAGCGCGAGUCGCUCUCCGAACACGCUUCUUACGACGACGCGAGGGAUCGCGGCCCGCGUGCGGCGCAUCGGAUCGACCGCUUCCAAACGAGGGCCCGCGGAUCUUCGGGACGCGGAGAGGAGCGCGGCUCCCCGACGCCGGCUUCGCCAACGGCACCUCGUCUCCUCAGACCUGAGAAACGCUCCAAAAGCACCAACGAAGCGCUGCAAGUCUGCAAAUGCUGGUACUGGGCUGCCCGCCCCUGCCACGGGUCGGGUCGGGUUCGGUUCGGUUCUCUCCUCUCCAACUUUGGCUACUCUGACCUGGGACGAGCGAACCCUCGGCCAACCUUCGGACACCCCCGUCGCCGUGCAAAAACUAACGUUCGUCCGUCAUCGAUACGCACGGGUCCAAACGCUGGGUCGCCGUGGCCCGCGCCGUGGCUCUCGGUGUCGAGGAGCGAGGGCCACUUGGCCGAAGCGAAAGGUGGUGACGCGUGGUCCGAGGCUGCGGAGCUUCAGUUUCAAGCGAGGCUCGCAGUUUAGUCGUUUCCCCUUUUUUGUCAUGUGGGUUGAGGCUGGAACUCGCGCCGUUAAGUGAACUUUAACUGCGAGAUUAAAACUGGUUUGUGCCGUUUUAUCAGAAAUUAAAACGAAAUUCUACAUUUUUCACGGGGCAGCCGAUAGCGUAGGUGAGAGCGGCUGCCUUCGGACCUGAAGGCGGGAGGUUUGAAUCCCACCUGCCGUUACACGUGAUCCGAUGGCUCGAAGCUCAUACUAUUAUACCAUACGACAUAUAUCAUACAACGUAUUACAUACAUUAAACCUGCGUAACCACGCUAAGCAAACAGCGGGUGGCGUUUCACUUUUACAGGUGUGUAAAUAGACGAAGGACUCGCCUAUCCGCGUGACCCGAACGUCCCCGUCAGCCUGCGGACCGGCGCUCUUCGAGAACCGCUGCUCCGGAGUCUAUCCCGGAAGCACGAGGCGAGAGGCAGAGCGCGUCCUGGACCGCGGGGCGAUGGCACGCUCUCGCCGACACACGCGCCAACCUACGAGGCCUUGAUCGCGCGAACCGAUCGAGGUCGGUGACGAAGGGUCGUCUCGCUCCGCCGUCCGACUCCUCGGACCUCCUCCUUCCCCGCCAAAACCGACCCGCGAGCCGAGGACAAGGGGAACCGGAGGUGCGCUUCUGGGAAGGGCGAAGAGCAACGGCGGACCAGAAGCGGCACGUCUUUUAACGUCAUAAAGACGAGGGAACCAACCCGAAGCGGGAUAUUCAUUCCCAACAACAUAAACCCGCUUACCUGUCGCCCGACCAGAUUUUAAACACAUCCGUCAAUCGGCCCCGAACGAUGUUUAAUUAGAGGAAAAAGGCACACGGAUGUUCAAUUAAACACGGGAGUCCACACAAGUCUUGCCUCUUGUUUGAAUUGGCCCACAUUGUUUGCCGAGCAACAACCGUUGCCCCGGGCAACACCGUCCACUCCCGUUUCCAGGAGCCUGUUGCUACGCGACCGGCAGAAUACUUCCCAAACCAAACAAU
RNAcentral lists this long non-coding RNA (1837 nucleotides) under Scleropages formosus (Asian bonytongue). Its description in RNAcentral is "lncRNA (ENSSFOG00015029226.1)". Lineage: Eukaryota; Metazoa; Chordata; Actinopteri; Osteoglossiformes; Osteoglossidae. The record is from RNAcentral.